This 468-nucleotide ribosomal RNA is filed under the name uncultured bacterium. RNAcentral describes it as "partial 16S ribosomal RNA". It matches the Rfam family "Bacterial small subunit ribosomal RNA", at positions 28 to 507 of the family's 1533-position model. The record is from RNAcentral.
GACGAACGCUGGCGGCGUGCUUAACACAUGCAAGUCGAACGGAAAGGCCCUGCUUUUGUGGGGUGCUCGAGUGGCGAACGGGUGAGUAACACGUGAGUAACCUGCCCUUGACUUUGGGAUAACUUCAGGAAACUGGGGCUAAUACCGGAUAGGAGCUCCUGCUGCAUGGUGGGGGUUGGUAAGUUUCGGCGGUUGGGGAUGGACUCGCGGCUUAUCAGCUUGUUGGUGGGGUAGUGGCUUACCAAGGCUUUGACGGGUAGCCGGCCUGAGAGGGUGACCGGCCACAUGGGGCCUGAGAUACGGCCCAGACUCCUACGGGAGGCAGCAGUGGGGAAUAUUGCACAAUGGGCGGAAGCCUGAUGCAGCAACGCCGCGUGCGGGAUGACGGCCUUCGGGGGGUAAACCGCUGUCGCCUGUGACGAAGCGUGAGUGACGGUAAUGGGUAAAGAAGCACCGGCUAACUACGUG